Molecule: ribosomal RNA, 530 nt
Filed under: Argopecten purpuratus
Lineage: Eukaryota; Metazoa; Mollusca; Bivalvia; Pectinida; Pectinidae
Description: partial 16S ribosomal RNA
Rfam family: Bacterial large subunit ribosomal RNA
Source: RNAcentral
GAUGGAAAGUGGGCUUAAAGAAGUCAUCUUUUUAGAGUGGGUUAAUCCUCAGUAUUUCUAGUUAAUGAUCAAAUGAAGUUCCUUUUGUUCAACAAAACUUCUUCACGAAACUAAGGGGUGAAGGUAAUAAUGUAAAGAUGAGUAGCUCAGUUUUUGGGGUUUAUUUGGUUCAGGAAAUUAAACGCUAAGUGAACGAUGAUGAUAAGCAAAGCUAAAGGAACUCGGCAACAACGAAAACCGCCUGUUUAGCAAAAACAUGGCUCCUUGAAAUCAUAAGGAGUCGUGCCUUCCCGGUGAGUUUAAACUUAAACGGAUGCGGUAAAGCGUGCUAAGGUAGCUAAGUUAUGGCCUAGUUAAUUGUAGGCCCUGUGAAUGGUUUGACGAGUUUUCUUCUGUCUCUAGCUUGUUUUAGUGAACUUGAAUUGGAUGUGCAAAUGCUUCCUUGCGAAAGAAAGACGAGAAGACCCCGUGAAGUUAGAAAUCUAUGUGCGUGGAGGUAGAAGGUUACUUCCCUUAGCUUAUGGUUUUGG